Molecule: unclassified non-coding RNA, 300 nt
Filed under: uncultured Rozellomycota
Lineage: Eukaryota; Fungi; Rozellomycota
Description: uncultured Cryptomycota sequence contains 5.8S rRNA gene, ITS2
Rfam family: 5.8S ribosomal RNA (bases 1-73)
Source: RNAcentral
GUGAGUCAUCGAAUCUUUGAACGCAUAUGGCACCUUUUGGUUCUUACUAAAAGGUAUGCCUGUUUGAGAAUCAUCUUCUACAUUCCACUCUUGGACACGUUUGAUUGACGGGUCAGAUCUCAAUGGGUCAGCUUUCAAUUGAAUGAAUGACCAGGAGUGCGACACAUGGACCUUCACCACUGAUCGUCUUGAAUUCAUGCACGGGGCUGUUCGUGGUAUACAGGGGCGUGUGGGGGCGUGUGCAUCCACAGUGCAUGUGCUCCCCUGCUUUGCUUGUGAUCGAGCGGUCCCGGUUCCUUU